Molecule: non-coding RNA, 109 nt
Filed under: Klebsiella aerogenes
Lineage: Bacteria; Pseudomonadati; Pseudomonadota; Gammaproteobacteria; Enterobacterales; Enterobacteriaceae
Description: Salmonella mgtC leader RNA
Rfam family: Salmonella mgtC leader RNA
Source: RNAcentral
CAACUUUAUACAGGAGAGAUAUGUUGGACAGUCACCCUUAUUUAAACAUCAAGGCAAACUGACGCUAUCUAUUCUGCGCUGUUUGCCAACCGGCAGGCAGCAAUCCUUU